RNAcentral lists this long non-coding RNA (4278 nucleotides) under Sus scrofa (pig). RNAcentral's name for it is "lncRNA (ENSSSCG00040014142.1)". The record is from RNAcentral. Lineage: Eukaryota; Metazoa; Chordata; Mammalia; Artiodactyla; Suidae.
UUGCCCUGCUCAAUGGGGUAAGGAUCCAGCAUUGCCAUGAGCUGCAUUGUAGGUUGCAGACAUUGCUUGGAUCUGGUAUUGCUGUGGCUGUGGCAUAGGUUGGCAGCUGCAGCUGCAUUUCAAUCUCUAGCCUGGGAACCUCCAUAUACCACACUUGUGGCCCCUUCACCCCCCAAAAAAACACUAUGUCAACUAGGAUUCUACUGGUUAUAAAUGACAGAAAGCCCAGCAGAGAUGGCUUAUGUGCAUUGCACCAUCUGGAGCUAGAACUGGCUUCAGGGCUAUGCAGGGUCAUUUCCCAUUCCUCCUCCAGAGCCACUUGCUACCUUUCCUCUCCCUGACCUCUGUCCCUGGAGCCUGUGUUCUGAGCUGCAUCAGCAGGGCUCCCAUAACCUCUAGCCACUGCCUGUGUACCCAGUGGGAAAAGCCAGCAGAAAUGUGAAGGGAGAGAGCAAAGGGGGAUCAAAGUAUUUAUUCCUCCACCUCCCUCCCUGCAAAGUCACUCUGGGUGACCUCAAUUUGAGGUCAUGGUUUUUCAAGGUGAUUUUUCAAGUCUCUACAUGACCUUCUUCUUGCUGGUUCUGGUAGCCACUCCCUCCCACACCCUUUCGGACCCACAAGUGAUAACAGUUCACUGUCACUGGCCUAGGGUCCCUGCAGUAUGUUUGCACUUGGUGGUUGGACACCUACACCUUGGCCCACAGUGAGUGGUCCCUUUGCUCAUAUUGUCUGGUUCAAGUCAAUCAUUUAUUUCCUGUCAGAGCCUGAUUCUCAUGAGAUCUCUAAUGUGUCUUUCCUGUUGGGACUUUGCCUCUCCAUCUCUUGAAUCCAUCUUUUGCUGAACUGACUUCAAUCUUAAGUUAUAGGCUCUGCAGUAACAGCUGUAGCCCCUGGCUUCUCUUGGUUUCAGGACCCUAGGAAAAACAGAGUCUCAUUCCAGAAAGGAUUAUCCAAAUUCCCAUUUCCUCUCAGUGGCUAUAAGGGAGAGCCGUGUGCCCCUCUCUGAGCCCAUGACAGUGACCAGGGGAAAUCCCUGUGCUGUCUCAAGUCCUGUGCUCCAUCCUGGGCAAACGGUGUGGAAGAGAGCAGUUCUGCAGGGGAAAGUCAACGGGCCUUUACUGUCAUACGGCGACUUAUAAGAAAUAUGUAUUUGGCCUUUGUCUUUGUUUCUGGCACAGAAUUCCUAAAACCAUUAUAAAUCCCUGAGCAAGGGGAAUGAUUAGGUUAAAUGAGGUGACUUUUGGACUGAACCUAGGCUGGGGAAUGGCUGCCAAAAUAACCAACCUUGUGAUUAGAGGGUCAGAACUUUCAGUCUCAACCCCCUGACCUCCUGGGAGUAGAGAGGGGCUGGAGGUUGAAUUAAUAGUCAAUGGCCAAUGAUUUCAUUUAUCAUGCCUAUUUAGUGAAGCCUCUAUAGAAACCUUAUAGGACUGGGGUCAGAGAGCUUCCAAGUUGGUGAUCACAUGGAGAUUUGGGGAGAGUGGUGCUCAGGGAGAACGUGACAAGCUCUGUCCCCUUUCCACACACCGUGUCCUGUGCCUCUCUUCCGUUUCGCUGUCCCUGCGUUACCUCCUUUUGUAAUAAACCGGAUCCCCUCCGACUCAGCCCUCUACCUAUGGAAGCUGAUGCUGUUUCUGGGUAGGCAGUAUCAGAAUCGAGUUGACUCCUAGGACACAUGGCUAGUGUUGGACAAUUGCUUGGUGGUGUGGGAGGAAAAAUCUAUAUGUUGUACUUGAGUGCAGAAUAUUAGUUACCAGAAAGAGGGUAACUGGAAGUUGCUUGGGAAAAAGUCACAGUUGCAUGGCAGUCAUCUUCCUAAGAUCUCACAGCAGAUAGGGACUCAUGUGUUUGCCCAACUCUAAGCCUCAGUUCUUCCCAGUACUCUGUCCUCAGCCUCUUUCCCCAGGCGGACUUUCUGCUGGGACGCCAGGUCUCGCUCUCUCAGGACAGAGAGUCCUGUAAAUGUUAGAGCAGAAGCCAUCCUGAGAGCCAUGUCAGGCAGAAGGGCAGCCCAUGCUGGGGUAGGGAAGGAGGAUGGCAUGAAGGAACCACACCCUCCAGGUCAACUGAGUGUGGAUCUGCCCUGUCACUUUCCACUUCCCCAGAUGUGGCCGAGCCCAACCAGAUAUCUGCCACAGAAGACAGGCAGACUGGACAAGUCAGAUUUAAGGACCAGCUCAGGAAGGAACCAAUGUGGCAGGAGUGUGGGGAGGAAGUUGAGUGAGGCAGGCAGGCAGAGUGUGAUUGCAGGAAGCCAGGGUGACAGCGUUCAGAGCCAAUGUGGGAAUAAGCAUGGGUGAGCCUACCUCCAAAGUCCAGGAAAGCUGGCCGGGCAUGAGUCAGCCUCCAAGAGAACAAUUGCCUGGAAAGCUAUGCUUUGAAACAAAUCCCAGAAGAGUUAUAAUAUUGACUGUACUGGUGCUAGUCAGGAUUGGUUAGAAGUCUUUCAGAAAGUACUAAGCCCCCGAAUGAGUGACUACAUAAACGAAUCAAUGAACGGGAUAAAUGAUCUCUAAGAUCUCACCCAUCCCUAAAAUGCCACAAAAUCCUUCAGAGGGUAAAGCACAUUUGGGCCAUUUGAGGGAACAGGGCACAGGAAGAAGUGCCUGACGAGCUGAAAGGCUUCUGAGAAAAGAUGAUUCUGUAGCUUUCAGAGUACCACUGCUGGUGCCAUCUUUCUUUGGCCCUUAAAUGUAGGACUCUUCUGUUUUGGUUGUUGUUAGAGCCAAAGCCCAUUGCCUUUAGGCCAGACUUACAGACCCAACAGACAUUCAGAGUAUGUGUGAUUUCAAGAAAGAAAAUAGCUCCUCAGUUCUCCUUAAUUGUAUACCUCUUUUUAAUUAUAAGAGAAUUAUAUAAUCAUUAUAAAAAUUAGAAUAUUACAGCAAAUAUUAUCUCACUCAAGAGUCAACCACUGAGGAGUUCCUUGGUGCCUCAGUGGGUUAAGGAUCCAGUGUGUCAGUACUGUGGCUCUGGUCACUUCUGUGGUUCAAGUUCAAUCCCUGGCCCAGGAUCUUCCUCAUGCCAUGGAUACAACCAAAAAAAAAAAAGCAAAGCAAAAGAGUCAACCCAGACACAUUCUUCCCAGAAUAUUUCUUAAGCAUAUUUUAUUACACAUUAUUACUGAUAAUUUUUUCCGAAAUUUGUUCUUCUUGAUUUUGCUUAACAUUAUGUCACAAGCAUUUACCCAUGCCAUGAAAAUACCUUCAGAAGGUAGUAUUAAGUUACUACAGAAUGUUCCCUCCUAUAUAGAUGAGUCAUAAUCUACAUAAUCAAUCCCAGAUCAGACAUUCAGAUUAUAUCCAAGGUUCAUUAUAAUAAUAAGCAUCCCUGAUAUAAGCUUGUAUGCACAUAAAGCUCUAUUUGCAUUUCAGAUCAGGUCUUGAGGCCAGAUUUGAGGAAGAGGAAUUACUGGUCAAAUGUCAUGAACAGUUUUCAAGCUCUUGCUAUUCAAGGCUAGUUUAUAUUCCAAGUGACAUUGCCCCAGUGUGGGCUUCACCGGCAGAACAUGGGACAUUGAUCUUUAUGGGCUGCUCACUGUCUUUAUGUUCUCUCUCUUUCCCUUAACUUUGCCAGUUUACCCUGUUAUCCCUUUGUCUUCAUCUAAACCUAUCUUCCAGAUCAGAGAGACCUGGGGAAGGAAUGGAAAGAGAAAUGGAUUUGUUGCAUUGAGCCCCUCUCUUGCUACCCAGCAGGGAAAGCAAUGCUACCUCAGGCCCUGGAGUUUUAAUUAACCUCCAUAAGCAGGAAUCUGAUCCCUGAAGUUAGUCAUUGCUCCAAGCUCCAUACCAGACCCCUAGGAGAAAAAGAGAGAGAGAGACUGUACAAGUGGUUUACAAUGGCUGGACUUGACCAUGCGUAUAAGAAAUGGCCAUAUAAGGUGUGGUGUUAACCUUCUGGACAGGGAGGUCACAUGACUUCCUUUAGCUCAUGAGCAAGGGGUGAAAGAGCCCGUUAGACUUAGAGAAACACACUCAGUUGGCCUUCCAAGAGCUCGCAUCAGGAGCAGAUAUCCUCUGUGAUAUGUGACAGUUCAGGUCCAGGCACAAGCCUGCAUAGCCAAGGACCCAGAGAGGCCAGCUUGUAUGCAGCUCAGACAAACAUCCUGAUCAAAUGGACUCCAGUGUGGAAAUUACAACCAGGAGAAGUAGAGCUUAGAAGGAAGGCAGCAGUCUGCUGGAAUGGGAUAGAACUCUUAGAUUGCUUUGGAGGAGCUCCCAUCACGGCUCAGUGGUAAUGAACCUGACUAGUAUCCAUGAGGAUGCAGGUUCAAUUCCU